RNAcentral lists this ribosomal RNA (380 nucleotides) under uncultured bacterium. RNAcentral describes it as "bacterial SSU rRNA". It matches the Rfam family "Bacterial small subunit ribosomal RNA", at positions 30 to 412 of the family's 1533-position model. The record is from RNAcentral.
AUUGAACGCUGGCGGCAUGCCUUACACAUGCAAGUCGAACGGCAGCACGGGAGCAAUCCUGGUGGCGAGUGGCGAACGGGUGAGUAAUAUAUCGGAACGUGCCCAGUCGUGGGGAUAACGUAGCGAAAGCUACGCUAAUACCGCAUACGAUCUACGGAUGAAAGCGGGGGAUCGCAAGAUCUCGCGCGAUUGGAGCGGCCGAUAUCAGAUUAGGUAGUUGGUGAGGUAAAGGCUCACCAAGCCGACGAUCUGUAGCUGGUCUGAGAGGACGACCAGCCACACUGGGACUGAGACACGGCCCAGACUCCUACGGGAGGCCAGCAGUGGGGAAUUUUGGACAAUGGCGCAGCCUGAUCCAGCAAUGCCGCGUGCAGGAUGAA